ACUACGGGAGGCAGCAGUGAGGAAUAUUGGUCAAUGGCCGGAAGGCUGAACCAGCCAUGCCGCGUGAAGGUCAGUGCCCUAUGGGCGUUAAACUUCUUUUGUGCGGGAGCAAUAAUGGUCACGUGUGGCCAGACGAGAGUACCGUACGAAUAAGCAUCGGCUAACUCCGGUCCAGCAGCCGCGGUAAUACGGGGGAUGCAAGCGUUAUCCGGAUUUAUUGGGGUUAAAGGGUGCGUAGGGUGUGAGGUAAAUAAGCGGUGAAAUGCCCCCGGUCAACGGGGUGAAGUGCCAUUGAUACUGGCUGGCUGGAGUGCGGAUGACGUGGGAGGAAUGUGGGGUGUAGCGGUGAAAUGCAUAGAUAUCACACAGAACACCGAUUGCGAAGGCAUCUCACGAAUCCGCGAUUGACGCUGAUGCACGAAAGCGUGGGUAUCAAACAGGAUUAGAUACCCCGGUAGUC
This 460-nucleotide ribosomal RNA is filed under the name uncultured bacterium. RNAcentral describes it as "partial 16S ribosomal RNA". It matches the Rfam family "Bacterial small subunit ribosomal RNA", at positions 338 to 795 of the family's 1533-position model. The record is from RNAcentral.